Molecule: ribosomal RNA, 444 nt
Filed under: Evarcha coreana
Lineage: Eukaryota; Metazoa; Arthropoda; Arachnida; Araneae; Salticidae
Description: partial 16S ribosomal RNA
Source: RNAcentral
UUCUUAUAUAUGAUCUGCUCAUGAUUAAUUAAAUAGCCGCAUAAUGUGCAAAGGUAGCAUAAUCAUUUGUCUUUUAAAUGAGGACCAGAACAAAAGAUUUAACAUUUCAAUUUAUUUACUUACUUUAAUAUUUUGAAUUUAUUUUAAAUGUAAAAAAACAUUUAUAAUUUAGAAAGACGAUAAGACCCUGUUGAACUUAACUUUAGUUAAACUGGGGCAGUUAAUUAAUUAUUAUUUUAUAAUAAUAUACUAAUUUAAAUAUCCAAUAUUAUUGAAUAAUUUAGUUACCACAGGGAUAACAGCAUAAUUAUAUUAUAAAGCUCUUAUACAAAAUAUAGAUUAUGACCUCGAUGUUGAAUUAAUAACCUAAUUAAGGCAAGACUUAAAAAAGGAGGUCUGUUCGACCUUUAAACAAUUACAUGAUCUGAGUCAAAANCCNGGAGA